UUUGGAAACAAGUGCUAAUACCGUAUAAUACCAACAACCGCAUGGUUGUUGGUUGAAAGAUGGUUCUGCUAUCACUAAGAGAUGGACCCGCGGUGCAUUAGCUAGUUGGUAAGGUAAUGGCUUACCAAGGCAAUGAUGCAUAGCCGAGUUGAGAGACUGAUCGGCCACAAUGGGACUGAGACACGGCCCAUACUCCUACGGGAGGCAGCAGUAGGGAAUCUUCCACAAUGGGCGCAAGCCUGAUGGAGCAACGCCGCGUGUGUGAUGAAGGGUUUCGGCUCGUAAAACACUGUUAUAAGAGAAGAACGGCACUGAGAGUAACUGUUCAGUGUGUGACGGUAUCUUACCAGAAAGGAACGGCUAAAUACGUGCCAGCAGCCGCGGUAAUACGUAUGUUCCAAGCGUUAUCCGGAUUUAUUGGGCGUAAAGCGAGCGCAGACGGUUAUUUAAGUCUGAAGUGAAAGCCCUCAGCUCAACUGAGGAAUUGCUUUGGAAACUGGAUGACUUGAGUGCAGUAGAGGAAAGUGGAACUCCAUGUGUAGCGGUGAAAUGCGUAGAUAUAUGGAAGAACACCAGUGGCGAAGGCGGCUUUCUGGACUG
Molecule: ribosomal RNA, 600 nt
Filed under: Weissella hellenica
Lineage: Bacteria; Bacillati; Bacillota; Bacilli; Lactobacillales; Lactobacillaceae
Description: bacterial SSU rRNA
Rfam family: Bacterial small subunit ribosomal RNA
Source: RNAcentral